This 70-nucleotide transfer RNA is filed under the name Myroconger compressus (red eel). RNAcentral describes it as "tRNA-Arg". It matches the Rfam family "tRNA". Rfam says of the family: Transfer RNA (tRNA) molecules are approximately 80 nucleotides in length. Their secondary structure includes four short double-helical elements and three loops (D, anti-codon, and T loops). Further hydrogen bonds mediate the characteristic L-shaped molecular structure. tRNAs have two regions of fundamental functional importance: the anti-codon, which is responsible for specific mRNA codon recognition, and the 3' end, to which the tRNAs corresponding amino acid is attached (by aminoacyl-tRNA synthetases). tRNAs cope with the degeneracy of the genetic code in two manners: having more than one tRNA (with a specific anti-codon) for a particular amino acid; and 'wobble' base-pairing, i.e. permitting non-standard base-pairing at the 3rd anti-codon position. Lineage: Eukaryota; Metazoa; Chordata; Actinopteri; Anguilliformes; Myrocongridae. The record is from RNAcentral.
AGACGACUAGUCUAUUGAAAGACCGUUGAUUUCGGCUCAACAAAACGUGGUUAAAAUCCAUGGUCGUCAU